This 465-nucleotide ribosomal RNA is filed under the name uncultured bacterium. Its description in RNAcentral is "partial 16S ribosomal RNA". It matches the Rfam family "Bacterial small subunit ribosomal RNA", at positions 338 to 795 of the family's 1533-position model. The record is from RNAcentral.
CCUACGGGUGGCAGCAGUAGGGAAUCUUCCACAAUGGGCGAAAGCCUGAUGGAGCAACGCCGCGUGGGUGAAGAAGGUCUUCGGAUCGUAAAACUCUUUUGUUAGAGAAGAAAGUGCGUGAGAGUAACUGUUCACGUUUCGACGGUAUCUAACCAGAAAGCCACGGCUAACUACGUGCCAGCAGCCGCGGUAAUCCGUAGGUGGCAAGCGUUCUCCGGCGUUAUUGGGCGUAAAGGGCACGCAGGCGGUCUUUUAAGUCUGAUGUGAAAGCCUUCGGCUUAACCGGGGUAGUGCAUUGGAAACUGGGAGACUUGAGUGCAGAAGAGGAGAGUGGAACUCCAUGUGUAGCGGUGAAAUGCGUAGAUAUAUGGAAGAACACCAGUGGCGAAAGCGGCUCUCUGGUCUGUAACUGACGCUGAGGUUCGAAAGCGUGGGUAGCAAACAGGAUUAGAUACCCUAGUAGUC